Molecule: long non-coding RNA, 716 nt
Organism: Capsicum annuum
Lineage: Eukaryota; Viridiplantae; Streptophyta; Magnoliopsida; Solanales; Solanaceae
Exons: 3
Source: RefSeq, a predicted model, not a curated record
UUUCUUCCUUCAAACUUCAACGAAAGAGGAAAAACUGAAGAACCAAAGAAGCGAUUCCAUGGGGUCAUGAAUGAGUUCUAUUGGACAACUCCAAAACUAAAGCUAGAUCAACCAAGUCAAGAUUCUUUCUUAUGUAUCUUUAGAUUCUUCACAUAAAUGUCAUCAUAAAUAAGGCGGAGAGGUUAAAGACGAUUUAAUGGCUUGGGGAAGCUCUCCACCACAUACACCACGACAUCAAGAUGUUUACCUAAAAGGAUAGCAGUUUAACAACUCUGAAAUCCAUGACCAGGUCGGAGGAUGCUAUCAUGAUACUCGACAUGGAUGAAGGAUGCUAUGAGAAUAUGAUGAUACCUGACAAGACCAUAGAAUACUAUAAUGAUGUGAUGAUACCAUACAAUAUUGGAGGAUGCUAUAAUGAUAUGAUGAUACCCGGUAAAGCUAGAGAAUACUAUGAUGAUAUGAUGAUACCCGAUGCAGUCGGGGGAUCUUGUGAUAUGAUAUUGAUAUCUGACAAGGAUGGAGGAUAUUAUAAUGAUAUGAUGAUACCUAACAAGACUGGAGAAUGAUUAUUGAUGUACCUACGUGUACAUUUACUGGUUCAAUUUUGGCUAGCCCUAUGUAUAGCAAUUUUAUGUUUAUCUACGGUCUUUUGUAGUUGGCUGUAAUAUUAAUAAUAUAGAUGUCGCUUAUAGUCUUCUAAUGAUUUAAGGUAUAAA